This 84-nucleotide transfer RNA is filed under the name Rhodothermaceae bacterium. It matches the Rfam family "tRNA". From Rfam's summary of the family: Transfer RNA (tRNA) molecules are approximately 80 nucleotides in length. Lineage: Bacteria; Pseudomonadati; Rhodothermota; Rhodothermia; Rhodothermales; Rhodothermaceae. RNAcentral also lists the same sequence under 2 other names. The record is from Rfam by way of RNAcentral.
GCCCGGGUGGCGGAAUUGGUAGACGCGGUGGUCUCAAACACCACUGGUGGCAACACCUUGCCGGUUCGAGUCCGGCCCCGGGUA